Molecule: ribosomal RNA, 406 nt
Filed under: uncultured bacterium
Lineage: Bacteria
Description: partial 16S ribosomal RNA
Rfam family: Bacterial small subunit ribosomal RNA
Source: RNAcentral
AUUGAACGCUGGCGGCAGGCCUAACACAUGCAAGUCGAACGAGUGGCGGACGGGUGAGUAAUGUCUGGGAAACUGCCUGAUUGAGGGGUAUACCUCCUGGAAACGUUAGCUAAUCCCGCCUACCAUCAGAUGUGCCCCGAUGGGAUUAGCUUGUUGGUGGGGUAACGGCUCACCAAGGCGACGAUCCCUCGCUGGUCUGAGAGGAUGACCAGCCACACUGGAAGUGAGAUAAGUGCCAGACUCCUACGGGAGGCAGGAGUGGGGAAUAUUGCACAAUGGGGGCAGGCUUGAUGGAGCAAUACAGAGUGUAUGAAGAAGGAUGGCGGGUUGGAAAGUAAUUUCGGCGGGGAGGCGUUACCGGUAGAAGAAGCACCGGCGAACGCAGUGCCAGCAGCCGCGGUAAUAC